RNAcentral lists this transfer RNA (70 nucleotides) under Cavia porcellus (domestic guinea pig). It matches the Rfam family "tRNA". From Rfam's summary of the family: Transfer RNA (tRNA) molecules are approximately 80 nucleotides in length. Their secondary structure includes four short double-helical elements and three loops (D, anti-codon, and T loops). Further hydrogen bonds mediate the characteristic L-shaped molecular structure. tRNAs have two regions of fundamental functional importance: the anti-codon, which is responsible for specific mRNA codon recognition, and the 3' end, to which the tRNAs corresponding amino acid is attached (by aminoacyl-tRNA synthetases). tRNAs cope with the degeneracy of the genetic code in two manners: having more than one tRNA (with a specific anti-codon) for a particular amino acid; and 'wobble' base-pairing, i.e. permitting non-standard base-pairing at the 3rd anti-codon position. The record is from Rfam by way of RNAcentral. Lineage: Eukaryota; Metazoa; Chordata; Mammalia; Rodentia; Caviidae.
UGGGAUUCGGCUGAGUGGCGCAGCGCCUGCCUGGCAAGCACAAAGUCCUGAGUUCAAUUCUCUGUCCCAA